Myotis brandtii (Brandt's bat) is the source of this 76-nucleotide non-coding RNA. Lineage: Eukaryota; Metazoa; Chordata; Mammalia; Chiroptera; Vespertilionidae. The record is from Rfam.
GAGACACCCUUAUGGGGCAGGACUUGCUUCAGUGGGGCUUUGGUGCUCACUGAGUCUGCCCCUUGAGUGUAUCUCU